Nannospalax galili (Upper Galilee mountains blind mole rat) is the source of this 319-nucleotide RNA transcript. It is a transcript of the gene named cAMP-regulated phosphoprotein 19 pseudogene, with no coding region annotated. The transcript has a single exon. The record is from RefSeq and is a predicted model, not a curated record. Lineage: Eukaryota; Metazoa; Chordata; Mammalia; Rodentia; Spalacidae.
GAGAGGAGCAGAAGGAAAUGGAAGAUAAAGUGGCUAGUCCAGAGAAAGCUGAAGAAGCAAAAUUAAAAGCAAGGUAUCCUCACCUGGGACAAAAGCCUGGUAGUUCCGACUUUUUAAGAAAACGAUUACAGAAAGGGCAAAAAUAUUUUGAUUAUGGGGAUUACAACGUGGCAAAAGCAAAGAUGAAGAACAAGCAGCUUCCCGCUGCAGCCCCAGAUAAGACAGAGGUCACUGGUAACCACAUCCCCACUCCACAGGACCUUCCUCAGCGGAAACAAUCUCUGGUUGCUAGCAAGCUGGCUGGCUGAUUAAAAGAGCU